GAUGAACGCUGACAGAAUGCUUAACACAUGCAAGUCGAUGGGGAAGUGGUGCUUGCACCAUGGCAACCAUGGCGGACGGGUGAGUAACGCGUAAGGGACUUACCUGCAUGACUGGGAUAACAGGGGGAAACUCCUGACAAGACCGGAUAAUGUCAUGGAUCUGCAUGGCUUUAUGAUGAAAGGAGACGCCUGCGGAGAGCCUUGCGUCCUAUUAGCUAGUUGGUGAGGUAGUGGCUCACCGAGGCGAAGAUAGGGAGCCGGCCUGAGGGGGUGGACGGCCACAAGGGGACUGAGAUGCGGCCCUUACUCCUACGGGAGGCCGCAGUGGGGAAUAUUGGACAAUGGGGGCAACCCUGAUCCAGCAAUUCUGUGUGCACGAAGAAGGUUUUCGGAUUGUAAAGUGCUUUCAGCAGGGAAGAAGUAAGUGACGGUACCUGCAGAAGAAGCGACGGCUAAAUACGUG
Molecule: ribosomal RNA, 463 nt
Filed under: uncultured bacterium
Lineage: Bacteria
Description: partial 16S ribosomal RNA
Rfam family: Bacterial small subunit ribosomal RNA
Source: RNAcentral